AUUGCCUCAGUAACGGCGAGUGAAGCGGCAACAGCUCAAAUUUGAAAUCUGGCCUCUUUGGGGUCCGAGUUGUAAUUUGUAGAGGAUGUUUCGGGUACCGCCUCGGCCUAAAUUUCUUGGAACAGAAUGUCAAAGAGGGUGAGAAUCCCGUCUUGGACCGGCGGUAGGGCCCAUGUGAAACUCCUUCGACGAGUCGAGUUGUUUGGGAAUGCAGCUCAAAAUGGGUGGUAAAUUUCAUCUAAAGCUAAAUAUUGGCCAGAGACCGAUAGCGCACAAGUAGAGUGAUCGAAAGAUGAAAAGCACUUUGAAAAGAGAGUUAAACAGUAUGUGAAAUUGUUGAAAGGGAAGCGCUUGCAACCAGACUUGUGCUCGGCGGUUCCCCCUUCCUUUUGGUUGGGUUAUUCCGUCGUGUCCAGGCCAACAUCGGUUCUGGGGGUCGGUUAAAGGCCUUGGGAAUGUACCUACCCUUCGGGCGUAGACUUAUAGCCCUUGGUGUCAUGCGGCCUCCCGGGACCGAGGAACGCGCUUCGGCUCGGAUGUUGGCGUAAUGGUUGUCAGCGACCCGUCUUGAAACACGGACCAAGGAGUCUAACAUCUAUGCGAGUGUUUGGGUGUCAAACCCGGAACGCGAAAUGAAAGUGAACGGAGGUAGGAAGCUUCGGCUGCACUAUCGACCGAUCCUGAUGUCUUCGGAUGGAUUUGAGUAAGAGCAUAGCUGUUGGGACCCGAAAGAUGAUGAACUAUGCCUGAAUAGGGUGAAGCCAGAGGAAACUCUGGUGGAGGCUCGCAGCGGUUCUGACGUGCAAAUCGAUCGUCAAUUUGGGUAUAGGGGCGAAAGACUAAUCGAAUCAUCUGGUAGCUGGUUCCUGCCGAAGU
RNAcentral lists this ribosomal RNA (876 nucleotides) under Rhinocladiella phaeophora. RNAcentral's name for it is "LSU rRNA". It matches the Rfam family "Eukaryotic large subunit ribosomal RNA", at positions 74 to 967 of the family's 3401-position model. The record is from RNAcentral. Lineage: Eukaryota; Fungi; Ascomycota; Eurotiomycetes; Chaetothyriales; Herpotrichiellaceae.